GAUGAACGCUGGCGGCGUGCCUAAUACAUGCAAGUCGAGCGAACAGACGAGGAGCUUGCUCCUCUUACGUUAGCGGCGGACGGGUGAGUAACACGUGGAUAACCUACCUAUAAGACUGGGAUAACUUCGGGAAACCGGAGCUAAUACCGGAUAAUAUAUGGAACCGCAUGGUUCAAUAGUGAAAGACGGUUUUGCUGUCCCUUAUAGAUGGAUCCGCGCCGCAUUAGCUAGUUGGUAAGGUAACGGCUUACCAAGGCAACGAUGCGUAGCCGACCUGAGAGGGUGAUCGGCCACACUGGAACUGAGACACGGUCCAGACUCCUACGGGAGGCAGCAGUAGGGAAUCUUCCGCAAUGGGCGAAAGCCUGACGGAGCAACGCCGCGUGAGUGAUGAAGGUCUUCGGAUCGUAAAACUCUGUUAUUAGGGAAGAACAAAUGUGUAAGUAACUAUGCACGUCUUGACGGUACCUAAUCAGAAAGCCACGGCUAACUACGUG
This 497-nucleotide ribosomal RNA is filed under the name uncultured bacterium. RNAcentral's name for it is "partial 16S ribosomal RNA". It matches the Rfam family "Bacterial small subunit ribosomal RNA", at positions 28 to 507 of the family's 1533-position model. The record is from RNAcentral.